Molecule: ribosomal RNA, 448 nt
Filed under: uncultured bacterium
Lineage: Bacteria
Description: partial 16S ribosomal RNA
Rfam family: Bacterial small subunit ribosomal RNA
Source: RNAcentral
AGGGAAUCUUCCACAAUGGACGCAAGUCUGAUGGAGCAACGCCGCGUGAGUGAAGAAGGCUUUCGGGUCGUAAAACUCUGUUAUUGAAGAAGAACGUGUGUGACAGUAACUGGUCAUGCAGUGACGGUAUUCAAUCAGAAAGUCACGGCUAACUACGUGCCAGCAGCCGCGGUAAUACGUAGGUGGCAAGCGUUGUCCGGAUUUAUUGGGCGUAAAGCGAGUGCAGGCGGUCUUUUAAGUCUGAUGUGAAAGCCUUCGGCUUAACCGAAGAAGGACAUCGGAAACUGGGAGACUUGAGUGCAGAAGAGGAGAGUGGAACUCCAUGUGUAGCGGUGAAAUGCGUAGAUAUAUGGAAGAACACCAGUGGCGAAGGCGGCUCUCUGGUCUGUAACUGACGCUGAGGCUCGAAAGCGUGGGUAGCAAACAGGAUUAGAUACCCUGGUAGUCC